This 460-nucleotide ribosomal RNA is filed under the name uncultured bacterium. Its description in RNAcentral is "partial 16S ribosomal RNA". It matches the Rfam family "Bacterial small subunit ribosomal RNA", at positions 338 to 795 of the family's 1533-position model. The record is from RNAcentral.
CCUACGGGAGGCAGCAGUGAGGAAUAUUGGUCAAUGGCCGGAAGGCUGAACCAGCCAUGCCGCGUGAAGGUCAGUGCCCUAUGGGCGUUAAACUUCUUUUGUGCGGGAGCAAUAAUGGUCACGUGUGGCCAGACGAGAGUACCGUACGAAUAAGCAUCGGCUAACUCCGUGCCAGCAGCCGCGGUAAUCCGGGGGAUGCAAGCGUUAUCCGGAUUUAUUGGGUUUAAAGGGUGCGUAGGCUGUGAGGUAAGUCAGCGGUGAAAUGCCCCCGCUCAACGGGGUGAAGUGCCAUUGAUACUGCCUGGCUGGAAUGCGGAUGCCGUGGGAGGAAUGUGUGGUGGAGCGGUGAAAUGCAUAGAUAUCACACAGAACACCGAUUGCGAAGGCAUCUCACGAAUCCGCGAUUGACGCUGAUGCACGAAAGCGUGGGUAUCAAACAGGAUUAGAUACCCUGGUAGUC